GACGAACGCUGGCGGCGUGCCUAACACAUGCAAGUCGAACGGAGAUUUCAGCAAUGGAAUCUUAGUGGCGAACGGGUGAGUAACGCGUAGACAACCUACCUUCUAGAUGGGGACAACACUGCGAAAGUGGUGCUAAUACCGAAUGUUGUAUGUGAAACGCCUGUUUCACAUACUAAAGGUGGCCUCUAUUUAUAAGCUACCACUAGAAGAUGGGUCUGCGUUUGAUUAGCUAGGUGGUGAGGUAAUGGCUCACCAAGGCGACGAUCAGUAGCCGGGCUGAGAGGAUGAACGGCCACACUGGGACUGAGACACGGUCCAGACUCCUACGGGAGGCAGCAGUGGGGAAUCUUCCGCAAUGGACGAAAGUCUGACGGAGCAACGCCGCGUGAGUGAAGAAGGUUUUCGGAUCGUAAAACUCUGUUUUCAGGGACGAAUGUGUAAUAUGUGAAUAAUGUGUUGUAAUGACGGUACCUGACAAGAAAGCCACGGCUAACUACGUGCCAGCCGCCGCCGUAA
RNAcentral lists this ribosomal RNA (516 nucleotides) under uncultured bacterium. RNAcentral describes it as "partial 16S ribosomal RNA". It matches the Rfam family "Bacterial small subunit ribosomal RNA", at positions 28 to 523 of the family's 1533-position model. The record is from RNAcentral.